Molecule: ribosomal RNA, 420 nt
Filed under: uncultured bacterium
Lineage: Bacteria
Description: bacterial SSU rRNA
Rfam family: Bacterial small subunit ribosomal RNA
Source: RNAcentral
GACGAACGCUGGCGGCGUGCUUAACACAUGCAAGUGGAGCGACGAACCGGGGCUUGCCCCGGGGCAGAGCCGCGAACGGGUGAGUAACACGUGGGUAACCCACCCCGAUGACCGGGACAACCCGAGGAAACUCGGGCUAAUACCGGAUGUGCUCCUUGAUCUCAAGAACAAGGCGCAAAGAUAGCUUCGGCCUUCGCAUCGGGACGGGCCCGCGGCCCAUUAGCUUGUUGGUGGGGUAACGGCCUACCAAGGCGACGAUGGGUAGCUGGUCUGAGAGGACGAUCAGCCACACUGGGACUGAGACACGGCCCAGACUCCUACGGGAGGCAGCAGUGGGGAAUCUUGGACAAUGGGCGCAAGCCUGAUCCAGCGAUGCCGCGUGUGUGAAGAAGGCCUGCGGGUUGUAAAGCACUUUCAGUA